GGGUUGUGGCCCAGUGGUAGAGUGCUUGUCUGGCAUGUGUGAGGCACUGUGUUCUAUCCUCAGCACUCA
RNAcentral lists this transfer RNA (69 nucleotides) under Marmota monax (woodchuck). Its description in RNAcentral is "tRNA.Ala". Lineage: Eukaryota; Metazoa; Chordata; Mammalia; Rodentia; Sciuridae. The record is from RNAcentral.